RNAcentral lists this unclassified non-coding RNA (200 nucleotides) under fungal sp. RNAcentral describes it as "partial internal transcribed spacer 2". The record is from RNAcentral. Lineage: Eukaryota; Fungi.
UUAAGUUCAGCGGGUAUCCCUACCUGAUCCGAGGUCAACCUGGUAUAAAAUGAUUUUUUUGACGGCGGAAGACUCCCCGGGCCUGUAGGACGUUUUGAAAGAUUCUACUACGCCCAAAGCCGAGGUGACUUCGCCGAAGGUUUUGAGGCACGCCCACCCUCUCGGGGGGCGAAGGCCUAAUACCAAGCGGUGCUUGAUUG